GUGGGAACGUGGCCCGGGGAGGGCAGAGCCAGGGCUUCCAGAGGCAAUAGAAGGGCGGGCUCCCUGGCACCAGCCUUUGGGUACAGAAACUCGAAAGGUGCCCAGUGCCUCAGGCUCGCCUCGCCCAACUUCCCCCAUGUUUGAGGGUCGCGUUCUGCGUCUGGCUGAACAUGACUGAUCUUUCUGCGGCUAGAUUGCCACUCCUCACCUCAUUCCCAAUGGUCCUGGAACCCGCAGUUAGUUCCUCAGUGACGCCCACCCUCCCUUGUCUCUCUUUUUCUCCUGGUGCAAAUAGCUCCCCUCCUUACUCAGAAAUCGGAGCGGGGAACCCCUACUUGAAAUUCCCUCUUACCCCAACCCCUAACCACGCCAAACGACUGAAACAGCGGCGGCAGAGAAACGCUGACUGGGGACCCCGCCCCCUCCCAUGAAACCCCUGCUGGGCCCCAGGGGCCGGCCGCCCCCGCCCCGCCACUAGGCCCAGACUGGAACUGGGAGCUGGAGGGCAAGUGAGGGGCCUGCAGGGGCCGCCUGGGGAUAGGAGAGCGUCCCAGAUCCGCAUGUUAAGACUUAAAUUUUUAGGUGACCAGCUAGACCUUAAAUUUGGGGAGAGUAGCACGAGUUGGACAAAUACCCAGAGAAGGAAGUGUUUACCCUAAGAGAGGAAUGAAAGCCCCGAGUGGGAGGACUGAAUACCUGGGGCUGGGGACAGCGACUCGGAAUGACGGCCAGGUGCGCGGACUGGCCGGGCCACGUGCGCCGAAGGGUAGAAGCAUAGAAGUUAGAUGCUUGCAGAACCUGGGGGAAUGAGGCCUUCAGGUGUUAAGAAAGGCGAGGCUUUGCCUGGGCGGGGUCCUGCGUGAGUGGGUCUGGGGGCCUGUUUCGGAAUGUGGGGGGCUGAGCUGCAAGCGGAGCGUCAGCAUGCGCCAGGCGCCCACCUCUUCUCCGCUGCUCCCCCCCAUCCUCCGCUGCCUCCGCUUCCCUCGAAAAACCCGCCGCCCAGGAAACCGCUGGGGGCGCUCAGACCGCAGACCCCCCACGCCCCCCGCCCCCCAGCGCUCCCACCGCGACCGCCCAACCCACCUGAAGGGGCCGUGGCCGCCAGGGGUACCCCCCUCCCGCCGACUCCCCCCAACACCUGCGGGUGGCACUAUUUAUAACUCCGCGCCUAUUCCGGGCCUCUGGGUUGGAGCCGGCUGCCGCGCAGCGCUAAUCGCCGCCGGGAUCUCUGCGCCCCCCAAGGCCGGGGGAGGCAAAUUUAGCUUCAGGAAGCUCAGGGGAACAGUUUCCAAAACUCCACGUCCCAGAGAAGGCAAGACAACCCCUCUGCACUCAGCCUCCUUCCGAUCAGCCACCAGGAGGCGCAGGUCCCCGGCUUCUCGAACCCAGCCAGCUAGGAGGUUACGGUCGCUUCUUUGAAGCUGGGGUAGGCGAAGGCCUGAGGGCGAAUGAUGGAAAGGAACUGAGGCCGAAGAAUGGCUGGAGGAACGGGUACGCUCCAAGGCUGGCGAACACUCUAGAGUCUGAGAGUAACUGAGAAAGUUGGGUGGAGGGAAAUAACUCACAUGCAAGACAGAUGUAAAUAUGAUGCAAAUAAGAGCCUAUGCCCAUGCCGGGCGCGGUGGCUCUCGCCUGUAAUCUCAACACUUUGGGAGGCAGAGGCGGGUGGAACACCUGAGGUCAGGAGUUCGAGACCAGCCUAACCAACAUGGUGAAACCCUGUCUCUAGUAAAAAUACAAAAAUUAGCCAGUCGUGGUGGCACACGCCUGUAGUCCCAGCUACUCAGGAGGCUGAAGCAGAAUUGCCUGAACCUGGGAGGCGGAGGUUGCGGUGAGCCGAGAUCGCGCCAUUGCACUCCAGCCUGGGCAACAAGAGCCAAACCCCGUCUUUAAAAAAAAAAAAAAAAAAAAAAGCCUAUGCCCUUGGGGAUGGGUCUGCGCUCUGGCGCUGCCAGUGAAAUGAUUGCCACACACCCCUUUUUGCCGGCCUCUUGGUGUUGGGAAAACGUGGGACAUCCCCACCCACCCACCCCUCCCCGCCGCCAGAUUAUUGCUAUGAUAUCCAGUUUAUUGCCUGCCGCUCCUCAGACCCUUGGGCCGUGACCCCUCUCCUCCAACUGUUCCUUGCAUGCCAACGAGGGUCCUGUAUCCGAUGUAAUCCGCCGGGAAUCCUGGAUAUCAGGCUUCUCCUCUCGCUGUUGUACUUGAGGGUCACAUCCAGCUGGUCCCUCCUGUCUCCAUUCCUACUCCACCCAUUCCCCCACCCCCUGUGACCAUUAGAGGGCACCAGGGCACCGAGGGGUAGGUGAGGUUUUAAUGGCAAAGGCCGCAAUUACUUUUGCACCAACCUAAUAUCUUGGUACCCUGUCUCCUUCACCUCCCUCCCACCUUACUCCACUUGAGUUCCUGAGGGAGUAAUUUGGACACUCAAAACCUGAGUUGCCCUAGUCGGGGAGAGAUACUUGUGGGGGAACAGCCACAGAGUGGGGAGCCAUGGGCCAGGAAAGAUCUCUUGGCUGUGUGGAUUAGGUGAAAGGGCUGCACCUGAAACCUCCAAAUGGGCUGAGAACAGGGAGCUUAGGGCUGAGGUGGGAAGUGGCAUGGAGCGGGUGCAUGGAGGUGGUACCCUCCAUGCUUUUGUUUGCAUGGCCCUGCCUCCAGGCCACUUUGGCCACCAUCUCCAUGCAAACACCAGCUCAGAAGAGGAAGGCAGGCUCAUUAGGAGAAGCCGUGAGUUGGGGAUCUGAAAAUCUGGGUUCGCUAAAUGACUCCUUUACCUCAGUGUGCUGUGUAUGUUCUUGGGCGAAUCAUUUCACCUCUUUGGGCCUAUUUCCUUCAUGUUAACAUGGGAUAAUUGCUGAAGUGGACUUUCGUAAGGCUCAAAGCACUCUGUAUUGUGAAAAGGGCUCUCUGAAUGGUAUCUGAGGUUUCUUUUAUUCUCCUCAUCCCUCUCCUCAGUCUUUACACUGCCAAAGCCCUCUUUCCCACUCUGACAUUCUCCUUGGGCCACUGGCAGUCUCUACCUGUCACUCCCCCUGCUGCUCUCUAUUACCCUUCUCACCACAGGCCACAGCCCUGGAUUCUGCCUUCCUCUACCCACCACUUCCCCAGUGGUUUCUGCCAGACUUCCCCUCCCCUGGCAAAGGCCCUUGGGCUCAGACCUCAGACUCCAGGAUCCACCUCUAGGCACUGCCCCGCUUGGUGGGAGUGAGGCCUAAGAAAGGAAAAGAAGGCGGUAGGCCAGGGCCUGAGUCAGGGAAGGAAAGGCUGGAGCUGGCCAAGUAGGGUGCAGGCUCUGAGGGGGAAGAAGGAGCCCCAGAUUCAUGGGAAGGUAAAUUCUGACUACCCCCAUCACUGGGACCAGGUGAGAGCCU
RNAcentral lists this long non-coding RNA (3374 nucleotides) under Homo sapiens (human). Its description in RNAcentral is "non-protein coding lnc-DCST2-2:1". Lineage: Eukaryota; Metazoa; Chordata; Mammalia; Primates; Hominidae. The record is from RNAcentral.